CCUCAUUUUCUUUCCAGUGGCCGACCCUCCCCUUGUUUUUCUCUCAACUUUCAUUUCCUUUACCUUUAAACCUUUAAAAAUAAACGAAAAAUACCUUAAAUGUUAGAUCUACCUCCCCUCGUCGUCGGUGAGAAGUCUUAAAACCGAGCUGGAGAAAGCGGUGGUAGUGGCAAAGAGUUGGCUGGUUCGAUCUGGACCGUUGGAUGGGUCCAGAUCGAACGGUCUUCGUGGGGCGUCGGCAGCAUCCAAGGGAGAAACGUUGAGGCAGAAGGUUGCCUAGGGUUAGAUGAGUCGGGUCGGACUGGCUGGGUCUCGGGUCGAAUCCGGGUUGAACCUUGGGCUUGGUACUGCUGUUGGGCUCCGGGUUUGGGUAGAUGACCCCUUGUAAUUGGGCUCAAUUUGGGCUGAAGGGGCUUGGAUUUUUAAGAUUAAAUCAAGUUUGAAUAACCCAAAAUUGGAGCGAUUUACAUGAGGGAAUUAAAUCUGUUGAAAGUUUAGGGGAUAAAAGUAAGUGUCGUGCAAGCUCUUGAAGAAGGGUUCAAAUGGGUUUGAUUGGCUUAUUUUGUGGGUUGGGUUAUUGGAUACGUGUCAAUGAAUAGUACGAAUUAGGUGUGCCAAUGAAUUAAUUUGUCACGUGCCACAAUAAACUAUCAGUGAUGAUGAUAAUGACGAUGAUAGUUCUAUUGAAGACCGCCUAUUAUGAAGAAAUUCGAAGCGUAACCGCUGACGACCACAUUGCGGAAUCAGUUCACAUAGAGGUGGUCUGUGAGU
Long non-coding RNA from Hibiscus syriacus, 771 nucleotides. RefSeq lists it as uncharacterized. The transcript is spliced from 3 exons. The record is from RefSeq and is a predicted model, not a curated record. NCBI's taxonomy places the organism in Eukaryota, Viridiplantae, Streptophyta, Magnoliopsida, Malvales, Malvaceae.